GUUCUAUUCAGUAAGUUUUUAAGUUAAUAAUUUCGACGUAAGUUUAUAACUAAUAAGAGAAUUUCUAAUUCAACAUUUUUUUCUUUUUUUUUUUGUGUUCACCCAACUUUAUUUUUACUUUAAAAUAAAGUUUAGAGUAGAAAAAUGCUUUAAUCUCAUUCCACACUUUAUUUUAUAAUAGAGUAAAAAUAAAUUUGUAUAUAUUUUUUUUUAAUUAUAUUUUUCACUUCAAAAUGAAAUUGGAUUAGAACAAAACAUAUUUUAUUAUGAAGUUACUACAUUUUGAAAGAAAAUGUAGAAUUUUACAUUAGAGAUGAUCAAACAACUUGCAAAGGUGCAAACUAUAUCAUUUUCACGGACGCAUAGGUGUAAAAGAGUAGUUGAAAUGUUAAUGUCACAUUCACUAAUUAUGAGCAUACAUGUUGACUCGUGAAUACAAUUAUUACGCACCUACUGUGAAUAAGUGCGUAUAUGCUGAAAUAUAUUGCAAAGAAAACAUAUUAGCUAUUUGCUGUAAAGAAAACAUAUUAGCAUUGUUGUAAAGGAAACAUAUUAGCUAUUUAUCUCUUCUAGCCAGAAAAAAAUGUCUUACCCGUGACGCCAUAAAGUGAAUGCUCCAAAUAUUCGUUGCAGUGGUUCCUUUCAUUGCCACAUAAUUACGUGAACGUGGUAUAAAGAAAAGGAAAUAUAAGACACAAGUGAUACUUUGUUGGAAUUUAAAUCGUAAACUGGAAUCUCAUAUCAACAACAAAAGCAAGAGAUCUAUUGAUACAAGAAGCGAUUAACUGUUUUUUUUUGCUUAGAACAUCUCCAAAAACGAACUCUAUUUUGAAAAUUUACAAAACUUUAUAUUUGAAGUUUAAAUGUGUUAUUCUCCAAAAGCAAAACUUCAAACAUAAUUUCAAAAUUAUUUUUAUUUUCUAAUAUGAUCCUUAUAUUUCUCAUAACUAAUUUAAAUUCAUAAAACUUAUGUAAAUAACUAGCACAUAUAUAAACAUAUUACAAAAAUAUUAAUUAAUAAAAUAUUAUAUUAAAAUAUAACAUUUUAAGCAAAAUAACUUAAUUAAUAUUAAACUUCAAGCAAAAUAUCAUAUUAUUCCAUAAAGUGAUUUUCGUAAUGCAUAUAAGAUCUACUAGUGCAUUUCGAAGUAAAAAUGGCUCUCCUCAUUUUUAAUUUGUAGAUUAGAGAUUAAAAAAGAGUUUUUUUUGUUGAGUUUUUUUUGUAUAUUUUUGUUAUCUAAAUCUAGUUUUAAAUAUUUUAAAUCUUAUUUUAAAGUUUUAUUUAAUUUUAUGUGUAAAUCUUAGAUUUUGUAAACAAAACUUAAGAUAUUUAUGAGAUAUAAUUUUUAUAAGGAUUAAAACAAUAUACAAAAAAAUAUUUAUAUGAAUCAUAAAUGUUAUGUGUAGUUUGUAGGGACCAAAAUGAAAAUAAAAAUAUGAAGUUUUGAGUAGUGAAACUUCAAAUAUAGAGUUUCACUCUUCAAAUUUGAAGUUUUGAAGUUCUUUUUUGGAAAGCAAAAACUUCAUAUUUGAAGUUAUAGAGUGUCUUUUAGAAAUGUUCUUAAUGAAGCACAGGACCGUCUCAAAUUAAUUUUAGACCAUGUUCAAAAAAUUAUUAAUCGUACAUUUUAUCAAAUAAUUUUAAAAUUUAAUAACUUUAUCUAAUUUUUUUAAUUAUAAGUUCUAAAUUUAGUAUUAUAUCUAAAAUUUAAAGUUUUUUACCAUAAUUUAUCUAUACAUUUUUUGAAAAAAAUAAACAUUUUAUUUUUAUAUUUUGCGUCAUGUUCGAUCGCUCCACUUGAGCAUAUUUUUUUGUUUGACUAUACAGUAUCAAUGAUACUUUAAUAUUUUUCCUCGCAACUUAACUAUACGAAGUCGAUUGGAAAAUUAUAACCAAAAUAGUGAUAUUCAUAUGAAAGAGGAAAAAAGCCUAUUAAAGUUUAUAUUUAUUGUGGGGCUAAUUUGCGUACUAACCAUAAAUCAAGACUAAAUUAAAUAAGUAACCUUGAUUUUGACGUUAUUUAGCGUCAGACCUUUCAUACAUACAUUAUCCGGUUUUGACCUUUACUUUAACAGGUAACCAGUUACAAGUGAUAGUACAUGACGUUUUGUGUUGUGUGUUGUGAUGAGAACCACAUACUGAAACAUAAAAAAAAAAUUAACAAGAAUGGAAGGGAAAUGUUUUUACAGUUUACAUUUUUGAUAGUAAAUAAUUUUAAUGGUAAUAUUUUUGAAUUUCUAUGAUGACAUCGAAGUGUGUACUUCUUACCCAACCUAAACCUGAAACCAACAUAAACUAAACUGAAAAAACAGUAUUUUUCAUUCCAUUUGUAUAGUAUAAAAACAAAUAAAGCCAUUCUAUACAGAAUAGCCGACAUAUUCUAUUCCAUAUUACAAAUUUGUUUAGGGAAUACUAAACCCUAACUGGAAAUACUAAACCCUAACCUCUGAUUUGUAAACCAUACACACAUUUUAAUGAUGUAGGUUAAUGAUUAGAAAUGUGUGUUAUAGAGUUACAUACAUAUUUGCACAUUACGAGAACACUUCUAGACUAUAUACAAUGUACUAUUUAAAAUGAUACUAUGUGUAUACUAGAGCCAAAAUUGAGCAACAUGAAAUACAAAGUUAAUAGGGAUGGUAAUAGAACACUUAGCAGUAAACACUAAAUCCAAGUUAAGAAAAUAUAAAUCCAAUCCAUAGGCAAACCCAAAUCUUCAGAAAAUUAAAUCCACAUGCUAUAAUACUGGAGACAUGUAUUUACAUUCCGCAUGAACCACAUAAAAUACAAAGCUAAUGAGGAUGGUAAUAGAAAACUUGAUAGUAAACACUAAACCCAAGUUAGAGAAAUAUAAACCCCAAUACAUAGGCAACCCAAAUCUUUGUGAAAUUAAAUCCACCUGCCAUAAUACUAGAGACAUGUAUUUACAUUUCUCAUGAGCAACAUGAAAUACAAAGCUAAUGGGGCUGAUAAUUAAACACUAAACCCAAGUUAGGAAAAUAUAAACCCCAAUCCACCAUAGGCAACCCAAAUCUUUAGGAAACUAAAUCCACUUGACAUCAAAGCCUGUCUCAAACAAUCUACUUGGAAGGUCUAAUUUUUCCAUACCAAGCCUGAAGAAUGAAAAAUAAGAGAGGCGAAGAGUGAGGACAGUUCACACUGUAAUAUUAAAUAUAGAAUUAUGAGUCAAAUCGAAUAACAAUGACAAACGAAUGGAAAGGUAUAUGAUGUAAAAGUAUGAUUCCAUGUAAAAUGGAAUAAUGCAAACCUUAUACUAUUCCACUUGACAUGACAUAUAUCAACGAGAUAUACUGAUACGGACAUAUGAUGAAACAUCUAUGUAUUGUUGAUGCUAUUCCACAAAAUAAUAGAUAUUUCUACACCAUGAACAAUGCACCGCAGAGACGAAAACCCCAAUUCAAGCAGAACAUCAGAGAGGAUCCCAAAAUAAAAUCAGAUAAGCAGAGAAGAAGUUUUAGUAACCAAAAUCGACGGAAAAACACUGAGAACUUACAGGACUGUCAAAGAUCUCAGAAGAAUCGAGUUGGUGAAGUUGGAGAGGUCGGCUGUGUUACUACCCGCCGCCGAAACCGUAAUGCAAAACCCAACCGCCGAACCCUAACGGCGAACACGAUUGAAAGGGAGGACGACCGAGAUGAAAAUUGGAUUGCAUGCAGAGGCGAGGCGUUGGAGCAGAUCGGAGGCCUUUCGACUUCGAGAAAUUGCCGAAGAAAGUGAGAAGAAGAAGAUGUGAUUCGGAUGAAGACACGAUUUACAUUUGUGCAGUUAAAUUUUUUUUAAUUAAUUUUUGUAGCAGGUGCAGCCGGUUAAUUAAAAAGGUAAUACUGUAUUAUUAUGUAUAUAUGACACUGUGUAUCUGUUCAUUAGAUAAAAUAGUUACUUUGUUAAUUAUCGUUUUUUUCGUUGCCAUACACCCCAAUUUCCUUUUAUUGUAUAUCCUCCAUGGAGAUUUGAUGGGAAUUGAUACGGAUAGAACCAAAAGCAAUUCUUCUGGCUAAAGGUGCCCCCAUGCGAGAAUCAUAAUGUCGACCAUUCUACAUUCAUGUUGCUGCUUCUCUGUCACGUGCCACAUGACACAUCACGUGACAUCAAAAACAUAAACUAUGCAUCUUUCAUGAGUCUUUCUUUUUAUAAUACGCCAUAACAUUAUUAUUAAUAUUUUUGUUACUUGUGUACCUAUUAUUGUCAGUCCUUUUAAAUAUUAUUUCGAGUCCAUUGUAUACUGUAGUACUAUACUAAAUCAGGUCUGUAUUAAUAAGAAAUUGGGAUAUUGAAAAGCUGUUCCCUGAACUGUUUGUGCAUGUCAGGUUGUUUAUUAACGGAAUAUUCAGAAUUUAGUUAGGAAAAUAAAUGCUAAUCUAUCUUAUUAAAACUCAAGUACAAAAUUGGAGUGUUUGGAGACUUGAAUAGGACUUUUAAAAAUUUUUGAGUGUUUGGAAACAUGGAUUGCAGUCUUUUAAAAAAAAAUAUUUUUGUUUGAAAACAAGAAUAGUAGUAUUAAGAAAAAAAGUAAUGGGCUUAUGUUUUUUUAAAAAAUUGAAAGUUAUCUAGGCCACUUUUAAAAUAUACCAAAAUGGGUCAAUCUAAUUCCCUAAAAAAAAAUUUUCUAAACUAACCAUAAAACAAAAUUUAAACUUUAUAUACAUAUUUCAAAUCAAAAUAAUAAUUCAAAUUUGAUUUAUAUCAAAAAUUGAUUCAAAAAUAUACAUAUAUUCAAAAAUGGAUUUUUACUAAACUAUUUUUCAAUAACCAUUAUAAAAAAAUAUUGUCAAUAUAUAUAAGAAAAAUAUAAUACAAAGCCCAAUUUGAAAUACCAACUCAAAUUAUGGUUUUCAUAUUUCAUAUUAAGUUUUAAAAAUAUAAUAUAUGUAAUUAUUUAUAUGAUGGUAUGUAUAAAAUACUAUUAAUUAUAUGAUUACUUAUAUGAUGGUACAUAUAAAAUACGAUUAAUUAUAUGAUGAUAAAAUACGAUAUAUAAUAAUGACUAGGGAUGGGCUUUUGGAUACCCAUACGGGUUUAGUUCUGAUCGGUUUGUAUUUUGGGUUUUCGGGGUCAAAGAUUUCAGCCUUAUUAGAAUGUUUCUAAAUUUUGGUUUGAGUUCGAUUUGGAUCUUUGCGGGUUUGGUUUGGGUUUGGAUAACUAAUUUAAAUUAUUUUUAAAGUCUUAAAUCAUUAUAUAUUUUAAAUUUCUCAAAAUGUAUAAAUAAAAUAAUAUAUUACGUAUAAAUUUGAAUAACAUAUGUCAUAAUACUUAAGCUUAACAUAUCAAUUGGCUUGAUUUAAAAUUUUGGAUACGAAAUCAAUAAUUAUUUUAAGUAUUUUUGGUGAUUUGAGUAUACUUUAACUAUUUCAGAUAUUUACUUUUGACUAUCUAUAUAUAUUUUCAAGUAUUUAAACCAAUUUAAAAGUAUCAUUUUUGAUGUUUUAUAUACGUUAAAUCUAAAAAUAAUUAAUAUAUAUAAGUAUAUAAAUCUAUUUUUAGAUAAAUUCGGAUACCCAAAUACUUCGGUUCGGAUCAGAUUCGGUUCUCUAAAUAACAAAAUUUUGAAUAAUUAGAAUAUUUAAUCAAUUUAUGUUUGGGUUUGGUACUAUAUCUUUGGAUCGGUAUCGGUUAUGUUCUUCGGAUUCAUUUUUCCAAAUCUUAAUAAUUACAUGAAAAACAAAUAUCAACAUAUUUUUCAAAAUAUACACCCGCGCGCCUGCGCGGAUCAAAAUCUAGUUAAUUAAUUAAAGAUCCUGUUGCUUACUACAAAUGGCCACAAGAAAAGCCAACGUACCAAAGUCAUCAUUUAGCCUUUGCUUUUGUACCAUAGAAUCUCCAUUAUUUUUGCUAUCUGUCAUCCAUUUAUACAUUUAAUUUGUUUACAUCCAAACAUUAUGUAAUUUAAAUGAAGAAGCUGUACCUUUUUUAAUAAUCACUUUUUCGAAAAUUUUCAAAAUCAGGACUAACCUAUAACUUCUUUGUAAUGAAAAUCACUUCACUACUGGAGAUUCUAUGGUACAAACCUGCUUCUAUCAGUUUGUUAAAAUCAGUAAAUUACAUAAUCGCUUUAAAUGAGCGUUUGCUUUCUGAACCAAGAGCUUUUUAAGAACUUGAUAAACAUGUUUUAGUAAUGCCAUUGCUAUAUGCAAUGUGCAAAGUCACAUACUACAAGUACAAGGGUUGUUGUUUGGGAUCAUUAAUUAAUUUAAACCCUAUUUGCUAGAAUAAUUUUACUACUAUUAUUCCAUAUAUAUGUCAACUCGUUUGCUAGGUUAACCCUUUACCAUUACAUAAUGAUUUCUGACCAAAAUAGCUAUAUAGAAAAAUAUAUUUUCCAAUUAUAUAUCUAUAUCAUUCAUAUUUGAAAUCUAAGCAUUUUGUAGAAUGUCAACAACGAAUAUUUCAAGAAGAAAGUGCACAACUCAGAACAAACGUUUAAAACAAAUUUUUUUUUAAAAUAAAGAAAACUCAGAACAAACGGUGUUCUGAUUCUAUCGAUUUUGCGCUCUUGUUGUUUGGCGUUUCUUGAGCCAUAAUGAUCUGACUGAACAAGUAUGAAACGACAAAUGCAUUUCUUUCAUCUUAUUGUAUAUACAUUAUUGCUUGUCCAUAUCUUUAUUUAUUUAUAUAUAUAUGCAUUUUUUUCCCGAAUAUUGACUAUUUUGUAAUUGACUUUGGACGUUGCAACUCUCUGCUGGUUAAACAAUUGAAAUGGAUGUCUUAAAUCCUUUGACUUGUAUAUUCUUUUUAACGACUUGACUUUUGUGUAUAUCAAUUAUACUCAAACUAGAUCAAGAUAAAACAUACUCCCUCCGUUUUUUAAUAUAAGUCGUUUUAGAGAAACUUUUUUGUUCCAAAUUAUAUGUCGUUUUCGGUUUUCUAUGUAAAAUUUAUUAAUAAUUAAUGGUAUAUGACCAAUGAUAAUAUAUCUUCUAUUUUUCUGUUGGUUGAAUUGUGGUUAGGUAAAUAAUUAAUGAUGUUUUUGUUUAGAAAAUAUAAGAAAUUAAUGGUUUUCUUAAUCUACGUGCAUAAAUGUAAAACGACUUAUAUUAAAAAACAGAGGGAGUAUUAAACAAAAUAUAUUUAAUUUGUAACUGAAUAUUAAAUAAAUAGAUUCUUAUAUUACAUAAUCUAACAAUUGUGAAAUUAUAUAUGAAAAAAAUAUGUUUUUAAUUUGUAAAAUUGUUUGUUUUUAAUUUGUAAAAGAAAAUUAUGAACAAAAAUAUAUAAAAAGGAGUUAGAAAGAAAACAUUUAAAUGGCUGUAAACAGUUUUAUAAUUUAUGUGACUCAACACAUGAAAAUAGUUACUCCACCCAUCACAAAUCUUUGAGCUACAAUAACUUCACUUGUAUAUGUAUAUAAUCAAAAGCCUAUAUAAAAACUAUAGACUCAAAACUAUAUAGGGAAAUAUGAAGAUGUAAGAUGUUCGCCCUGAAUUAGUCGCUGACCUAGUUGAUGAAGCAUACGUUGUGGUGAGUGGUGAAGACCAUGUGGAGUCAAGGUGAUGAGCUGGAGUCAUGUAGACUUGGAGAGCAAGAGAGUACCAUGGAGAUAUGGAAAGAAGAAUAAACUUGAGGAGUAAGUUUAUGACUUAAAGAAAGAUGAAUAAGUGCAUUUCAAGAAAAAGAAAAUUGCACUUAUUGUUAUGGAAGAUGUCCAUACAUGUUGCCUCGGAGACUAGAGUUUCGGGAACAUAGAAAAUAAUUAUAAGAUAUCUAUGGGGUCGUCUAUAUAGAGAGAGAGAGAGACAAAGACUGAUCUUAUAGAGAAAGAGAGAAGCUCUUUGAAGUGUUAUGGGUCGUGCUGAAGCAGUGGCUGAAGUACUUGACGGUAGAAAGACAUAAGCGGGUAGUUUAGGAAUCUUUCAGUAGCGUGUGUUAGAGUGAUAACACUAGACGUGUAAAAGCUGAAUUAAGCAGAUCUUGUAAUAGAUUGUUUAAGGAGAUUCGAAUAAAGCAUUGGUGUUUGCUUGUGUAUUUUGUCGUUUAAUUUACCUUCUGUAUUACUCAAUUGUGGUGUCAUCUUGUACUAACAAACUAUAAGAAAAAACUAUAACAAAAAAUAAUGAUAGUGGAUCAUUAGCUUGUCAAAGGUCUAUUUGUAUAAUAAGAUGCCCUUAUGCAUACAGUCUAUAACCUUUUUGGUCUAAAAGAAAAAAUAUUAGAGAUUAUAAAUAAAAAAGAGAAAUAAGAAUUCAUCGAUUCCAGAUUUCUGAUCUAAGUUUUUCAGAAAAAAUAGUUUCUACAUAGAUAAAUUUUACAGUUUUUUGCAUGUCCCUAUUCGUUUAUGUUUGGAUGCAAACUGCAAGAAAGAUGUUUGGUAGCACUAUAUCUCCAUACUGGACGGACACCGUAGUGUCUUUACUGCAGCUUGCUCGGAUUCAGCUGGACUCUGUGCUACAAAAGAUGGUGUUUCAGACAGUUAUCUAUUCUAUCUGGAGAGAACGGAAUUCAAGAAGGCAUGGAGGUGUAUGAGUCACAACGGCUAAGAUCUCUCAAAGUAUCGACAAGCUACUUAGGAACCGGAUUUCAUCUCUUCGCUACAACUGUGACCAUCCAUUGAAAGGGCUAAUGGAAAGAUGGUUUGAAGUCACUUAAAUUUAGUUGGAAAGAGACUAUUCAUUUUUUAAUUUGUUCCUAGUAGUUUAGAUCGUAUACUCUUACUACUUGUAAAUGUGGUAGUUUGAUCAAUAAAUUUGAUAUUUAAUUAAAAAAAGAAGAAUUUUACACUAAUUCUCAUCUCAUCUAGUAAUUUUGUUUUCAUGCGUAUCUCUAGUUACAUCCUUAGAUUUUUUUUUUUUAUGUUUGAACUCGAAAUAACUAAAAUCUAAUUUUGUAAGAAAAAGAGUACAAAGUCUCAUAUUUAAUCCAUUAAUAUUCAUGAACAUAUUUUAUUUCCAAUAUUAAACAGAGUUACAAAGUUCGAAAAAUUAAAAGUAAACAUAAUUAUUAAGCUAUUAUUGGUAACUUGUAAAUCUGAUUUUUCAUUUCAAAUACAACAUUAAGUGUUUGACGAAAUGCAUAUAGUCAGGUCCUGCGUUUACUCUUGUACCUAUAGUCAUUUCAUUAAUCCAUAAUAUAUUAUACAUCUACUAAUGGCUUAUAUUGUAAUUGUUCUAGCAAAUGUUGGUCUAUUAAAAAAACGAAUGAAGAAACAUGUGGUGAUGACACCUUGUCAAUAAUGGCAAACUUGUAAAUAUGGUACAAAAUAAAUGUUAUUUUCUUAAAAUAUUUCCCUAUUAAUAAGUAAAGGAUAGCAAAUAAAGCUAAUUUUAACUUUACCUAUAUUCAUAUUUUUUGCAUGUGUCAUACAUAUACAAAUAAUUAAAAACCAUUAAGCAAUUAUAAUUAUUUUACAUUACAAAAAUAAAUUCGUAAUUAUUUAAAAAUAAUAUCCGCAUGGAUAUACAAAUCAAAGUCGAGUUAUAUUUAAAUAAAAUAUUUAUAUAGUAGAGUUAAAUAUUAUUCUAUUUCCAAUUCAUUUUGGACUAAAAAACGAAGGAAUGAAUCAAAUGAAUUCACUACUCAUAUUUGGAGUAGUUUUACUUUUAUUUUGUUAUGAAGUGAAAAUAUAACAGAAUUAAAAAGAAGUUUUGAUUUCAAAAUUAAUUUUGAAAGGAUAAAUAAAAUGGGGCUGGAAUACUCUGUAGGAUAUUUGUCAUAUCUUCACUUACCCGUUAAUAUUCGUGUACAAAUAAGAUCCAUUUAAUAAUUUGGGCUUUAAGAAAACAUCACAUGGGGUACAACAAAGUUGGAAUCAAAUUAUAUGGGCCUCUAGAUUCUCAACGUAUGGACAAACAUGCCAGAUGUGUAUUGAUAAUAAUACAUAUUAACCAUACAUUAAUUUGGAACAAAACUUGGGUUCACCCCUAUGGUGAAUCCUUUAAAUUCACCUCACUAUUGAUUACUAAUCAAAUUGUCAUGUAGGAUUAUUUAAAAAAGGUAUUAAAAGUAAAGAAAAAACAAAGAAAAUAGUUUUAAUAAGAAACGGAAGACGUCGACUUAACGACGUUCAUCAAAACACACCUCGCCAGCUGCUGCUUCUUCAAACUCAGAGCCUUCUUCACAAUCCCUAAAACAUACAGAUUGUAGUGUUUAUGUUCGAGAUCUGUGUUUUGCGUCGGUAUGUUGCGUUACUCUCUUUUAUUCUUUUUCAAAUUUUAGAAUCAUGUUUUUACAUCAGGUCAAUUCCCUAAAACAACAUAAUUAACCUCAAGUAUAACUAUUGUUUGUUAUCAACAAGGAAGAAGAAGAUGGAGAAGAAGAGCAUCUAGUUAAAAAAUCUUCUGGCGAAAGGUGCCCCCAUGCGAGAAUCAUAAUGUCGACCAUUCUACAUUCAUGUUGCUGCUUCUCUGUCACGUGCCACAUGACACAUCACGUGACAUCAAAAACAUAAACUAUGCAUCUUUCAUGAGUCUUUCUUUUUAUAAUACGCCAUAACAUUAUUAUUAAUAUUUUUGUUACUUGUGUACCUAUUAUUGUCAGUCCUUUUAAAUAUUAUUUCGAGUCCAUUGUAUACUGUAGUACUAUACUAAAUCAGGUCUGUAUUAAUAAGAAAUUGGGAUAUCGAAAAGCUGUUCCAUGAACUGUUUGUGCAUGUCAGGUUGUUUAUUAACGGAAUAUUCAGAAUUUAGUUAGGAAAAUAAAUGUUAAUUAAUUAAUUAAAGAUCCUGUUGCUUACUACAAAUGGCCACAAGAAAAGCCAACGUACCAAAGUCAUCAUUUAGCCUUUGCUUUUGUACCAUAGAAUCUCCAUUAUUUUUGCUAUCUGUCAUCCAUUUAUACAUUUAAUUUGUUUACAUCCAAACAUUAUGUAAUUUAAAUGAAGAAGCUGUACCUUUUUUAAUAAUCACUUUUUCGAAAAUUUUCAAAAUCAGGACUAACCUAUAACUUCUUUGUAAUGAAAAUCACUUCACUACUGGAGAUUCUAUGGUACAAACCUGCUUCUAUCAGUUUGUUAAAAUCAGUAAAUUACAUAAUCGCUUUAAAUGAGCGUUUGCUUUCUGAACCAAGAGCUUUUUAAGAACUUGAUAAACAUGUUUUAGUAAUGCCAUUGCUAUAUGCAAUGUGCAAAGUCACAUACUACAAGUACAAGGGUUGUUGUUUGGGAUCAUUAAUUAAUUUAAACCCUAUUUGCUAGAAUAAUUUUACUACUAUUAUUCCAUAUAUAUGUCAACUCGUUUGCUAGGUUAACCCUUUACCAUUACAUAAUGAUUUCUGACCAAAAUAGCUAUAUAGAAAAAUAUAUUUUCCAAUUAUAUAUCUAUAUCAUUCAUAUUUGAAAUCUAAGCAUUUUGUAGAAUGUCAACAACGAAUAUUUCAAGAAGAAAGUGCACAACUCAGAACAAACGUUUAAAACAAAUUUUUUUUUAAAAUAAAGAAAACUCAGAACAAACGGUGUUCUGUCUGAUUCUAUCGAUGCGCUCUUGUUGUUUGGCGUUUCUUGAGCCAUAAUGAUCUGACUGAACAAGUAUGAAACGACAAAUGCAUUUUUUCAUCUUAUUGUAUAUACAUUAUUGCUUGUCCAUAUCUUUAUUUAUUUAUAUAUAUAUGCAUUUUUUUCCCGAAUAUUGACUAUUUUGUAAUUGACUUUGGACGUUGCAACUCUCUGCUGGUUAAACAAUUGAAAUGGAUGUCUUAAAUCCUUUGACUUGUAUAUUCUUUUUAACGACUUGACUUUUGUGUAUAUCAAUUAUACUCAAACUAGAUCAAGAUAAAACAUACUCCCUCCGUUUUUUAAUAUAAGUCGUUUUAGAGAAACUUUUUUGUUCCAAAUUAUAUGUCGUUUUCGGUUUUCUAUGUAAAAUUUAUUAAUAAUUAAUGGUAUAUGACCAAUGAUAAUAUAUCUUCUAUUUUUCUGUUGGUUGAAUUGUGGUUAGGUAAAUAAUUAAUGAUGUUUUUGUUUAGAAAAUAUAAGAAAUUAAUGGUUUUCUUAAUCUACGUGCAUAAAUGUAAAACGACUUAUAUUAAAAAACAGAGGGAGUAUUAAACAAAAUAUAUUUAAUUUGUAACUGAAUAUUAAAUAAAUAGAUUCUUAUAUUACAUAAUCUAACAAUUGUGAAAUUAUAUAUGAAAAAAAUAUGUUUUUAAUUUGUAAAAUUGUUUGUUUUUAAUUUGUAAAAGAAAAUUAUGAACAAAAAUAUAUAAAAAGGAGUUAGAAAGAAAACAUUUAAAUGGCUGUAAACAGUUUUAUAAUUUAUGUGACUCAACACAUGAAAAUAGUUACUCCACCCAUCACAAAUCUUUGAGCUACAAUAACUUCACUUGUAUAUGUAUAUAAUCAAAAGCCUAUAUAAAAACUAUAGACUCAAAACUAUAUAGGGAAAUAUGAAGAUGUAAGAUGUUCGCCCUGAAUUAGUCGCUGACCUAGUUGAUGAAGCAUACGUUGUGGUGAGUGGUGAAGACCAUGUGGAGUCAAGGUGAUGAGCUGGAGUCAUGUAGACUUGGAGAGCAAGAGAGUACCAUGGAGAUAUGGAAAGAAGAAUAAACUUGAGGAGUAAGUUUAUGACUUAAAGAAAGAUGAAUAAGUGCAUUUCAAGAAAAAGAAAAUUGCACUUAUUGUUAUGGAAGAUGUCCAUACAUGUUGCCUCGGAGACUAGAGUUUCGGGAACAUAGAAAAUAAUUAUAAGAUAUCUAUGGGGUCGUCUAUAUAGAGAGAGAGAGAGACAAAGACUGAUCUUAUAGAGAAAGAGAGAAGCUCUUUGAAGUGUUAUGGGUCGUGCUGAAGCAGUGGCUGAAGUACUUGACGGUAGAAAGACAUAAGCGGGUAGUUUAGGAAUCUUUCAGUAGCGUGUGUUAGAGUGAUAACACUAGACGUGUAAAAGCUGAAUUAAGCAGAUCUUGUAAUAGAUUGUUUAAGGAGAUUCGAAUAAAGCAUUGGUGUUUGCUUGUGUAUUUUGUCGUUUAAUUUACCUUCUGUAUUACUCAAUUGUGGUGUCAUCUUGUACUAACAAACUAUAAGAAAAAACUAUAACAAAAAAUAAUGAUAGUGGAUCAUUAGCUUGUCAAAGGUCUAUUUGUAUAAUAAGAUGCCCUUAUGCAUACAGUCUAUAACCUUUUUGGUCUAAAAGAAAAAAUAUUAGAGAUUAUAAAUAAAAAAGAGAAAUAAGAAUUCAUCGAUUCCAGAUUUCUGAUCUAAGUUUUUCAGAAAAAAUAGUUUCUACAUAGAUAAAUUUUACAGUUUUUUGCAUGUCCCUAUUCGUUUAUGUUUGGAUGCAAACUGCAAGAAAGAUGUUUGGUAGCACUAUAUCUCCAUACUGGACGGACACCGUAGUGUCUUUACUGCAGCUUGCUCGGAUUCAGCUGGACUCUGUGCUACAAAAGAUGGUGUUUCAGACAGUUAUCUAUUCUAUCUGGAGAGAACGGAAUUCAAGAAGGCAUGGAGGUGUAUGAGUCACAACGGCUAAGAUCUCUCAAAGUAUCGACAAGCUACUUAGGAACCGGAUUUCAUCUCUUCGCUACAACUGUGACCAUCCAUUGAAAGGGCUAAUGGAAAGAUGGUUUGAAGUCACUUAAAUUUAGUUGGAAAGAGACUAUUCAUUUUUUAAUUUGUUCCUAGUAGUUUAGAUCGUAUACUCUUACUACUUGUAAAUGUGGUAGUUUGAUCAAUAAAUUUGAUAUUUAAUUAAAAAAAGAAGAAUUUUACACUAAUUCUCAUCUCAUCUAGUAAUUUUGUUUUCAUGCGUAUCUCUAGUUACAUCCUUAGAUUUUUUUUUUUUAUGUUUGAACUCGAAAUAACUAAAAUCUAAUUUUGUAAGAAAAAGAGUACAAAGUCUCAUAUUUAAUCCAUUAAUAUUCAUGAACAUAUUUUAUUUCCAAUAUUAAACAGAGUUACAAAGUUCGAAAAAUUAAAAGUAAACAUAAUUAUUAAGCUAUUAUUGGUAACUUGUAAAUCUGAUUUUUCAUUUCAAAUACAACAUUAAGUGUUUGACGAAAUGCAUAUAGUCAGGUCCUGCGUUUACUCUUGUACCUAUAGUCAUUUCAUUAAUCCAUAAUAUAUUAUACAUCUACUAAUGGCUUAUAUUGUAAUUGUUCUAGCAAAUGUUGGUCUAUUAAAAAAACGAAUGAAGAAACAUGUGGUGAUGACACCUUGUCAAUAAUGGCAAACUUGUAAAUAUGGUACAAAAUAAAUGUUAUUUUCUUAAAAUAUUUCCCUAUUAAUAAGUAAAGGAUAGCAAAUAAAGCUAAUUUUAACUUUACCUAUAUUCAUAUUUUUUGCAUGUGUCAUACAUAUACAAAUAAUUAAAAACCAUUAAGCAAUUAUAAUUAUUUUACAUUACAAAAAUAAAUUCGUAAUUAUUUAAAAAUAAUAUCCGCAUGGAUAUACAAAUCAAAGUCGAGUUAUAUUUAAAUAAAAUAUUUAUAUAGUAGAGUUAAAUAUUAUUCUAUUUCCAAUUCAUUUUGGACUAAAAAACGAAGGAAUGAAUCAAAUGAAUUCACUACUCAUAUUUGGAGUAGUUUUACUUUUAUUUUGUUAUGAAGUGAAAAUAUAACAGAAUUAAAAAGAAGUUUUGAUUUCAAAAUUAAUUUUGAAAGGAUAAAUAAAAUGGGGCUGGAAUACUCUGUAGGAUAUUUGUCAUAUCUUCACUUACCCGUUAAUAUUCGUGUACAAAUAAGAUCCAUUUAAUAAUUUGGGCUUUAAGAAAACAUCACAUGGGGUACAACAAAGUUGGAAUCAAAUUAUAUGGGCCUCUAGAUUCUCAACGUAUGGACAAACAUGCCAGAUGUGUAUUGAUAAUAAUACAUAUUAACCAUACAUUAAUUUGGAACAAAACUUGGGUUCACCCCUAUGGUGAAUCCUUUAAAUUCACCUCACUAUUGAUUACUAAUCAAAUUGUCAUGUAGGAUUAUUUAAAAAAGGUAUUAAAAGUAAAGAAAAAACAAAGAAAAUAGUUUUAAUAAGAAACGGAAGACGUCGACUUAACGACGUUCAUCAAAACACACCUCGCCAGCUGCUGCUUCUUCAAACUCAGAGCCUUCUUCACAAUCCCUAAAACAUACAGAUUGUAGUGUUUAUGUUCGAGAUCUGUGUUUUGCGUCGGUAUGUUGCGUUACUCUCUUUUAUUCUUUUUCAAAUUUUAGAAUCAUGUUUUUACAUCAGGUCAAUUCCCUAAAACAACAUAAUUAACCUCAAGUAUAAAGAAGAUGGAGAAGAAGAGCAUCUAGUUAGAAGAUAUGUUUUUAUUGGAAUUGAAAUUUUGAUUAAAUGUACAGACGAAGUGGAUCCAGACGAAGUGGAUCUAAGAAAAGUUCCCAAGAAGAAUAACAAAGAAGAAAGCAGAAGAAGAGACUUGAGGCGCAAGAAACGGAAGAGUGAAGAAGAAGAUUACUCUCUUUCUCUCUCUACAAGAACAAGAAAAGAAACGAGGGAGUAAAGAGACUGUGUCUGCUUGUUUAAUAAUGAAACACAAGACAAAACAGAGUGAGUGUGAGAAGAAAAACAGAGACUGAGUGAACAAGAGAAACACAGUGAGCGUACAACUAGAAUUAAGAAGAAUGCUUUCACAUCUCUGUUUAUAAGACAUUAUAAAUGUGUACUGUAUUUUUUAUAAGGCAAUAUAAUGUAUUUUAUAGAAGUUUCACAUCAAGAUGUAAGGAUUCAUCGAGGAAGAAGGUGAGAGAGAAUAGCUAUUUCUGGUUUGGUAUUCAUGGCGACGCACUACAAAGAUAAGGACCAGGAUCACGGCUAUAAGUGAUUCAACGUCGACAAAGUGAAGAGCAGUAAGCCAGUGCUUCAUUGUGAGGGGAGAAUAAUUUUUUUUUUUUUGCUCUGGUUUGUUCUUCGUUGGUCACUAGAGGAAGAGAACAUCUAUGAAAGAAAAGGGAGAACAUAUAGAGUUAAGAAAAUUGCAGCUAAAAAGAAAAGGGAGAACUAAUAUAUUCAAUACAAGAACAGAGCAGUCUAUGAAGUGUUGGGGCAUUGUGUGUGCUUUGCUAAAGGUUCAGCCGAGACGUUGAAGCUGAAUAUGGCCUUGAUUCUGUUACCUGUAUGCAGAAAUACCAUCACAUGGCUUAGAAAUAAGACUAAGAACGAAAACAAAACAUAAUUAAUAUCUGCUUUCAUAUUUAAAAUAACAGAGUUUUACGGUGAUCCACCACAACUCUUGUCAAAUCCCUACAAAAUAUGAGACAUACACAAAUUAAAAAAUGAUAGAUAAUUCAAAUAUAAAUGGUAUAGAGAAUGAAGUAUUAACCUGGAGCAGUUGUGAAAAAGAAGUUUCAUUGUCUAAGGUGAGACUAGUGGCAGCAACAGGUAACUGAGUAUCAAGAGGAAGACUUGAAUUCUGAAAUAUGUAGAUUGACUAAGUCCCAAAAUUCGAUGAAGAUUAGACAAACAAACAAAAACUAUAUAUCAAAUACCUGAAAUGACAACUUUUUUUUGGCUGUAGCAUUAUUGGAUGAUUUUGAUAUACCACGAUUUUUUGUUUCAAGCACACUCAUAUAUCGAUCAUGGCGUCCGACUUUUUGGUUCUUUGGUCGUCCAGGAGGCUUUUUUCUUUUUAUUCCACGUGCGUUUAGAACUUCUUCUUCAUCUUCUUCUUCCACAAGUCCAAAAUCUGAAGAGUGGACCAUCCAUUUAUUAGCUUUAACAAGUUCCUUUUUCUUUUCCACCAACUUUUCAAGCAACUGAGAGGCAGCUUCAUCUGCACACAACGUCAGGUCUACAUGUUCAGCAGCAACAGACGCAAUCUCACGGAAAGUACGACAUAUAUGACUAUAUCGCUUUCCGAUCGAUUGCUUCACUGUAUCAUUAGGUGUCGCUGAAUGAUAAAAGGAUAUGGUUCGUGCUUUAGCCUCUUUACUCCAUCGAUUCAGAAUGUAAGUAGGUGGAAUUCUUCUAACAUCCUUCUUGGCCAACACUUUUAAUGCAUGACGACAUAAGAUUCCACCAAAAGAAAACUUCAUGCAACUACAAUGUAUCGUUUCGUUUGCAGCAAGAUAGUUAACCAAAUGAUUUCUUCCAACACCACGAAAAGAUACAUUGUAUUCAGCACUCACCAUCUCAGACUUAUUAACCCUUUUGGCAACAUAAUCACCUAUAGCUAUGUAUUCCUUCUGGAACAAGGUAAAGACUUCUGGUGUAUACACGUCCAAUGCAUGUUGUAACAUUUCUACAGGAGCUGAUAAUACCGGCGAGGUAUGCAUCAUACUGAAGUCAGCAGUUAAUUAUUUAAAGCGCCGAUCAUCCAACACUCUCUCAUAGUGUUUAAAGAAGCGAAACAAGUUAUAACUGCUCUUCAAGUAAUUUUUCAAAAUAUUAUUCAUACUUUCACUACGCUGUGUGCUCAUCAUAUUGGCUGUAAAAUUUUGACGACCAUAUACCCUUGCCCAUUUUUCUCUCAACUCAAACAAAUCCUUCAGCCAUUUAUUCUCUGUCAAUCCAUGCUUCUCGAGCAUUUCACUCCAUGCCGAUAACCAUUCUACUUCAUUCUCAUGGUCAUAUACACAUUUUCCAAAGUCUGUGGCAAAAUGGUUUGGUCCAUGAAAUACACAACUCAACCUCUUUAUAGCAUUUUGGUAAAUAUGCCAAACACAUAACCUAUGUUUUGUUUCAGGGAAGACUUUUCCUAUUGCAUUUGCCAUUGCUGCACAUUGGUCAGUAAGAAUUGUUUGCGGCUGUUUUCCAGACAUUGCUCCAAGAAAAGUCUGAAAAAGCCACUCAAAAGAUUCGGUCGUUUCAUCAUAUAAGAGAGCAGCACCAAACACAAUAGUUUGCUUAUGAUGAUUGACCCCGACAAAUGGAGCAAACGGUCUAUCAUAUUUGUUGGUCUUGUAAGUUGUAUCAAAGCAAACGACAUCUCCAAAAAAAUUGUAAUCACUAAUUGACCGAUCAUAUGCCCAUAAAAUAUUAGUGAUCAUAUCGUCUUAAUCAAGUUGCAUUGAGUAUAUCGGCUGUAAAAGUUUGACGACCAUAUACCCUUGCCCAUUUUUUCUCUCAGCUCAAACAAAUCCUUCAGCCAUUUAUUCUCUGUCAAUCCAUGCUUCUCGAGCAUUUCACUCCAUGCCGAUAACCAUUCUACUUCAUUCUCAUGGUCAUAUACACAUUUUCCAAAGUCUGUGGCAAAAUUGUUUGGUCCAUGAAAUACACAACUCAACCUCUUUACAGCAUUUUGGUAAAUAUGCCAAACACAUAACCUAUGUUUUCUUUCAGGGAAGACUUUUCCUAUUGCAUCUGCCAUUGCUGCACAUUGGUCAGUAAGAAUUGUUUGCGGCUGUUUUCCAGACAUUGCUCCAAGAAAAGUCUGAAAAAGCCACUCAAAAGAUUCGGUCGUUUCAUCAUAUAAGAGAGCAGCACCAAACACAAUAGUUUGCUUAUGAUGAUUGACCCCGACAAAUGGAGCAAACGGUCUAUCAUAUUUGUUGGUCUUGUAAGUUGUAUCAAAGCAAACGACAUCUCCAAAAAAAUUGUAAUCACUAAUUGACCGAUCAUAUGCCCAUAAAAUAUUAGUGAUCAUAUCGUCUUAAUCAAGUUGCAUUGAGUAAAAAAAAGAUGAAUCAUCCUCUUUCUUUUUCUGAAAGUACUCCAAAACCGCUCCAGCAUCUUCCUUUUCCAUUGCUGCCAUUCGCUUACGGUAUAUGUAAUUGCGCAUGUCUUUAUCUAUAAAACCCAGAUUUGCUUGCCCCCCAACUUCUCUGCUCAUCAUUUCAAUGGUUGCUUUUGCUGAAAUUCCUGACAUAUCGGCAUCAUCGGCAUGUUGUUUUUGAGAGAUAGAGAUUGCUCGGUUACUCUUCAUCAAAUGCUUCAUAGGUGUCCUCACUAAAUCAUGGUUAUGAUUCGGCUCAAAAGUCAUAUCUUAUAUCUUCCGUUACUCUGAAGGUAGCAAGACAUGCGAGCUUUACAACCACACCUUGUGGUUGGUCGUGAAUAUGAUUUCCUGACCUUAGGUUCCUAUCUAAGCCCCUCUUUUGAGCAUACAUAAACCAUCCUUACUAGCUUUUUGUUUUUUCUCGUAGUCCGUUGUCUCCUUACGUCAAAACCAUGAUUGCCUCCGUACUUUCUAUAAGCAUUAUAUGCAGACUCAUCAGAACUAAAAUCCAUUCCACUACAGAGUUCAUAUUUAUUUUGAUUUUCAUUGUUUGCCUCUAAAGCAUCAGCAUCUUCAGUCUGAAUAUAAUCAUCCUUGUUGCCUAUGCCCGUUUCUUCAUCGAAAUCACCGACUGAAACAUCGUCAUCACUGAAUGAGGCAUCUUCCUCAGCUAAAAAAUCAUCCAAAUUCUGACUUAAGAAACUGGUUUCACCUGAGAUUUGAGUACUAAAUUCAUCUUGAGUAGCGGAAACAGUUUCUUGAUCACUUGAAUGACUAUUCUCCAUUGCAACUAUAUAGCAAAAUACAAACACCAGUCAGAGAUUAUCUUAGAUAACAUAGAAAAAUUAAAAUUUAUUUUAAUGGAGAUUCUAAAUAAUUGAUGUUUUAAAACAUAUCAAUUUAAUGCCAAUCAUCAAGUUUUAUCAUAUAUCAGGACCUGGCCUUAUUUCAAUCAUAAACCACAUCAAUUUAAUGUCUUCCCACGACCAUAAUGUGUACAAGAGCAAUGUAUUCCUAAAAAGUAAGAGAAUCAGUAGCUACAAUUUAGUAUAUUAGUUCCAAUUUGUCAACCUAGUAUGUUUAGUUCUUUUUCCUUUCAAAGCUAAAUAGUUAAAUAAGUUUGAAUAAUGCUUAACUCCAAUUUUUUUUAACAAAUAUCACAAAAUACAAACACACUGGCAGUAAGCUACAAAGCAUCCGUGACCUCCUAUAUUCCUUUUUUUUUUCUCCUAUUGCCAUGAUCAUACAUAGAUUUGAUUAAAAAAGACAUAACAACUCUAAGCUUAAAACUAUAUGAUCCUGAGAUAUAUAACAACCAAUAACUAUACUUGAGGUUAAUUAUGUUGUUUUAGGGAAUUGACCUAAUCGAAAAGCAUCGAUUCUGAAAUUUGAAUAAGGAUAAAAGAGAGUAACGCGACGUACGGUUCAAAACACAGAUCGUGAACCUUUGUUUGAAAGCUACAAUCUGUGUUUUUUUAGGGACUGAGAAUUGAGUUUGAAGAAGCAGCAGCCGGCAAGGUGGGUUUUGAUGAAUGUCGUUAAGUCGACGUUUUUCUUUUUUUUUUAAGCUAUUUUCUUUUUUUUUCUUUACUUUUAAUACCUUUUUUUAAAUAAUCCUACAUGGCAAUUUGAUUGGUAAUCAAUAGUGAAGUGAAUUUAGAGGAUUCACCAUAGGGGUGAACCCAAGUUUUAUUCUCUUGUGUUGGAUCUUCCAUCAAAUUCUUCGUCAGAAUCAAUUGUCCUUUUCACGUGGUUAUAUCCGAUUCGUGUACACAUUAGGAGUUGCAAAGUGAUUUAACCUAAUAUAUAUAAAACACAUGAAUCAAAUUAUUAACUGUAAAAUGAAUUUAAAUUAAAUAUCUAUAUAUACAUUAUACGUAAAAUAGUAUGGAAUUUAUCUGGAUGAAUAGUUAUCAUCUUGAGAUAUAUUGUUAAGUUCAUAUUGAAAAUGAGAAUGAACCGACUACUAUAAAAAAUACUUUGUACUUUGACCUCUUUAUUUAUGGUUAGGAAAAAACAUUUAUAGGCGUAUUAGUUAUUAAAUCAAAAAGUUGAAAAUGAAUUUGUAAAACAUGAAGCUAAUUCGGGGAAAAAGAUUAAAAAAAAAAUGUCGCAUAAAAUCAGAGCCUCCGGUAGCACAGCCGAAGCAACAAUAGGUUUUUUCUUCCCACGCCCGCCGCCGCCUAGUUGACAUCUUUCAAUUUGUGUAAGACGAAACUGAUUCGUGGAAAAUGGUAUAAGUAGUGGAAAUGGAAAAGAAACAAUAAGUAGAACUGGAAACAUUCAUACACCGAUUUCGCUCGACAAUUUAUUUACUGAAUCUCAUACUUUGCUGUUUACGAGAAAGAAAUCAUAUCUCUCAAAAAGCAGUACAAUACAAAUAAAAGUGGUUUUAAUCGAACAAAAAAUCGUCUAAUACCAUUAAAAGACAAUAUUCUAUUGCAGUGAACAGUCCAAGCUAAAACAAGCCAUACAUCUACUAUCUUAGCAAAUUUUGUAUCUUACACAACUGAAAAAGUCAUUCCAUGAAAUAAUGUUAACCCGUAUUAAAAGAUAAAAAACAAAAAAAUGAAAAAAAUUUCAAAAAAGAAAUUGUAGUAACCCUAAAGAAAAUCUUCAAAACGAAAAAGGUACAACAAAAGAAAUUGAGAAGUCAAGAAGAAUCGCCGAGUUCUCCUCCACCAGCCCCUAAAAAUUGAUAUGGUCAUCUGGGGGAGCACGUCAGUGCAGGUGGAGCCCGAAAAUGCCAAAGAGCUCUUAAAUUGCAUUUAUCUUCAAGAAUUAGAGUAAGUUGUGCUACGGUUGUUUCCCGAAAAAAAGAGAGAUGUGGAAAACAUAAUAGAUCCGUACUUAGACCGCGACAAGCCUGUUUAAAGAAUUAGGGAUAAUUGUUGGACUCAAAUACCGAAUACACUAAGGGCAUGAUUAACCCGGUUUCUUAGCCAGAGUUCUUAACUCAUGAUUUGACAUUUUUUUGUUUUUUUUCACUUUUCGGCUAAAAGACAAUUCUUAUAUCUCUUAUUUAAUAGACCGUUUUUAGCUUUUCUUAGUUAAAAUCUAAGAAAAGCUAAGAACCGUCUAUUAGGCGAAUCUAAAAAUCCCAGUCAAGAGAUCGGAGUUAAUCAUGGUCUAAGAAUAUUUCUAAAAGCAUGAGAGGACAAGCACAUAGGAGGUCAGCUUCGGUGUCGACUUAACCGGGUUUGGAUGCUGAUGACCUUCGAGGUCGCGUCGAACUAAUGCAAGAUGAUAAGACCAAAUCAAUGGAAUAUGCCUUGUAGAUCUCAAAUAAUUACGGUAACAGAAAGCACCCUAAGAUCAUUGGAAUCGUACUGAAUAGAUAAAGAAGAAGAUUUUGGUGCAACAAUAUUUAUAAAAAGAUGAGAAAAUGGGAGAAGAAGACAUCCGUAUUCCAGCAUACACACAUACAUUCGACCCAGGGGCGGAUCUAUGGUGUGAUGAACGGGGGCACGUGCCCCCGACUACUUUAUAAUAUUUAUUCAACAACCAAGGGAACAACUCUUUUUUGUAGACUAGUUGGUGAAGAAGCCCCACCAAUGACUUAUUCUUCCAAGGUUCGAUACCAUUCAUCUUUAUAAUUACUUUUUUGUUUUCUCCACUUUGUUGUACAGUUAAUUUGCUGUUUGACACGUUUACAGUCUACUUUUACUGUAUCUUUCUUUACAAGUUAUAACUUAUAUGCGGCAUUUUUCCUUCUUCCUUUUGUUUAUUUGUUUUUCAUAGUUUGUAUAUUAUAUUUUAUAUAUUCAUCUUUAGAUUUCAAGUCUGGCGCCACAUUUUAAGUAUAUUUUUAUAAUAACAAACAUUCACAACUGCUAGUAAAUAAAUAAAACCAAUUAAUACUAAAAUAAUAAAUUUAUCUAUUCAUUUUUAUUUCAUAUUUUAGAGUUUAGUUUAUAUAAAUAUGAUGAUAAAAUAGUUUAUUUACAAUUUUGACAUAUUGUUAUAUAUAUAUAUAUAUAUGUAAACUUCAUGAUUACUUUUCUAUAUAUUUUCAAAUUAUUUUUGUGUAAGAGAAUUAUUAUGAUUAAUACCAUUUGUGAAGAAGUGUAAGAAUUAUUAAAGUUACUUUAUAAAAAAGUUCAUGUGUUCAAAAAGUUAGUGUAAAUUAUUUUCACAGAUUAUAGUUAGCUUACAAUAUUUUUAACAUAUUAUUAUUUAAUUGUACUAUAUAUAAAAUAAUUUAAAAUAUAUUGAUUAAUUAUGUGCCCCCGUCAAAUAUCCGGUCUGGAUCCGCCACUGAUUCGACCUCGAGUUCUCUGACUAAAAACACUUUGACCUAGUUUUGUUAACUUGUUCUUAAUUUAAGGUUCACCCUUGUUUCGAUCAUUAUUGUUGUGAUCUAAUAUCAUAAAUACAACUAGAUUUUAACCCGCACACCCGUGCGGAUAACAUUUCAUUUAUAAAUAUAAAAUUUUAUAUUAUUUUAUAUAUAAUAAUUUAUGAUAAUAUAUUGCUGUCAUUUUUUUCUUAAUAGUCAUAAACUCAUUGUAUGAUUUUAAACAAAAUAAAUAAAUUAUCUUAAAAUUACAGUAGUAUUGAUUGUAUUUAAAAAUAUAAAAAUUAUUAAUAUUAAAUUGUAAUUCUCUAUAUAAGGAGAAUUUUCCCAUAAACAAACAAAUUAUUAAUUUAUGUAAAAAUUAUGUUUUAUAUUUAUAGUUAACUCAGUUAUACUCAGUUUAAUAAUAAUUUUAGUUCUAAACUCACAAAUGUAACCUUAAAAUAAUCGUACAAAACAUAUAUAUUCAAAUGGGGAAAAUCGCAUUUUAAACCCUGUGAGUGUCACAUUCUCGCACUUUAAACACUGAACGUUUUUGACUAGCACUUUACACCUUGAAAGUGACAUUCUUAUCAUAACAAACCUCCAACGAGAUUUAUUUGUUUACUAAGUCAAUGAGAUGACAAGUACUGUUCAUUUUGUGAUGACGAGUUGGUUUUUUCUUUUUUUUAAAUAAAAAUAAAAUACAUAGAAAAUUCGAAACAAUUCGAAAAAAUCGUUUUUUUUUUUGAAAAAUUAAAAAAAUAUUAAAAUAACUCAAAAUUAAAAAUAAAAUAAAAUAUUUUUAAAAAAAUUAAUCCGAUUAUAAACCAAUAAAUAUAUAUAAUAUAAUAACUUGAAUGGUGAUACUAGAUUCUGUUUUUUUGGUUUUUGAUUUUUUUUUAAUUUUUGAUUUAUUAAUACUUAACUUAUUAAAUUUUUGUGAAACUAGAAAAUAUCUCAUAGACCACUUAAAAUGUUUUUGACCUUAACUAAAAUACUGUAAGUUAGUUUGAAAUAUAAUUAAGAGAUAGAGAGGUAUGCAUUUAGAUUUGUAUAUGUUAGGUUUUGGUAUGAGUGGAGCUUCUUAGAUAAGUAACAUACAUUUUAGUUUCUUUAAAGUUUGAUUAGUUAUUUAUUUAAUUUCAAAGUUAUUUACUAUUUUAAGAACUUCACUUAUAAGUUAAUUUCUUUUUAAACAAACUUAAAAUUACUAAAAGAAAUAUCAUUUUAAUAAAUAAUACCAAUAAUAGGAUUAAUUUUGAAAAUUUAACAAGUUAAGUAUUAAUAAAUCAAAAAAUUUAAAAAAAAAUCAAAAACCAAAAAUCAGAAUCUAGAAUCACCAUUCAAGGUAUUAUAUUAUAUAUACUUAUUGGUUUAUAAUUGGAUUAAUUUUUAAAAAUAUUUAUUUUAUUUUUAAUUUUGAAACUUUAUUUUUUUAUAGUUUUUUUAAUUUUAGAUUUUUUGAUUUUUUUUGAUUUUUUUUUUGAUUUUUUUUAUUUUUUUUUAAAUUUUCAAUGUAUUUUAUUUUUUUAUUUAAAAAAAAAACUGACAUGUCAUCUCAAAAUGAACAGUACAUGUCAGCUAGUUGACUUGGAGAUUUGUUAUGAUAAAAAUGUCACUUUCAAAGUUUAAACUACUAAUCAAAAACGUUCAGUGCGAGAAUGUGACACUCUCAGAGUUUAAAAUGCGAUUUUCCCAUUUAUUUUUGUCAAUUUGAAUCUGAUUUCAUUAUUUUAUCAUAAAGAUAUUGUAUAUCAGUUGAUUUUUUCUAAAUUUACAAAUAUAAACACUGCCAAAUUUUAAGUAUGCAUUUUGAGAUCUACAUCUUAUAAGAAACAUGCAUCCUUUAUAGGGUCCUUUUAGAGCCCAUUUUAAUAUUUAGGUGUUUCUUAAAAAAAAGUUAAAAAUUCAUCUACCUGAGGCAGGUGCUCUUAGUACAUCUGUCAUGACUCAUUACUAUAUGAAUUAUUAGUAAUCAUCAUCGUGAUUGCGAAUAAAAAUCUAUAAAGAGAAUCCAUUGAGUGUUGUUGUUUUAAAUUGAAAUCUUAUCUGUAAAGCAUAGUAAAUGGAAGACGCGACAAAGUCAUAAAUUCGAAAAUAGGCAUGAGAAAGAUGUCAACCUUAUCUCUUUCUUUUCACGACAAACACACAACGAAGUGACGAACCAGCGAAUACUAGAUGGUACCUAACCUUGUACGUAUCGUACUCUUUUACUUCUUCUCUAUACUUCUUUCUUUGUUUAUUUUCAUUAAUUAAAUUAUUAUACGCGAAGCAAACGUGGACCUACAUAUCUUUUUUUUUUUUUGAUAACUCUGGUAUUUGGGCAGCUACAUUCCCAACUAUUCCUCCGAAACGGGUCCAGCGCCCCAACGGAAAGGAUGUUAAAUCUGUUGUGCCCAAGACUCGAAUCCAGGUGGCGGGCAGUACAGCUGUACCUCCUUUACCACCAAGCUACGAGCGCUUGAUUACAACUUUGAAUUCUCCACAAAUCCUUCAAUCAUGCUUUUUUAUCUUUUUGAUUAAAUUAUUAAGUAAUACCUUUAAGUUUACUAAUACAUACUAAUAGACUACAAGGUGUUUUUCCACGAUGCGUGAUUAAACAUUUUCAUAAUUUUUGAAAAGUUCUGUGUACAUUAUAUUCAUUAUACUAAAAUAAAUCGUAAAAUAAUUUAAUAUUAUAUUUUUAAUUCUAUAAUUAAGAAAAAUUAUUUGAUUAAUAUUUAAUGAUGUAAUUUAUGUUUUUAACUUUUUACUAAAAUACUUUUUCAGAUAAUAAUACAAUAUAUAUAUAUACAUAGAAAUUAUCUUUUUUUUAUUAUAUUUUUAGAUUUUAGAUGAUUCAAUAUUCUAUUUUUAAUUAUAUAAUUAAGAAUUUUAUUUGAUUAAUAUUUAGUUAUAUAAUUUAUGUUUUUAAAUUUUUACAAAAAGGCUUUUUGAGAUAACAAUACAAUAUAUACAAAAAUUAUCUCCUUUUUAAAUUAUAUUUUCAGAUUUUGGAUAACUCUUACUAUCAUUAAUUUUUAUCAAUUAUCUAAUCAAAUAAAUUAAAAUUUCGUUUUUAUUUUUAAUUUAGUUAUACAUUUUAUUUGAUUAAUAUUUAGUUAUAUACUUCAUGUUUUUAAAUUUAUACUAAAAGACAUUUUCAGAUAACAAUACAAUAUAUACAGAAAUUAUCUCUUUUUUAAAAUUAUAUUUUCAGAUUUUGGAUAAUUCUUGCAAUUAUUAAUUUUAAUAAAUUAUCUAAUCAAAUAAAUUAAAAUUUCGUUUUUAUUUUUUAAUUUUGUUAUACAUUUUAUUUGAUUAAUAUUUAGUUAUAUAAUUCAUGUUUUUAAAUUUUUACAAAAAAACUUUUUCAGAUAACAAUACAAUAUAUAGAAAAAUUCUCCUUUUUAAAUUAUAUUUUUAGAUUUUGGAUAACUCUUGUUAUUAUUAAUUUUAAUCAAUUAUCUAAUCAAAUAAAUUAAAAUUUUGUUUUUAUUUUUAAUUUAGUUAUACAUUUUAUUUGAUUAAUAUUUAGUUAUAUAGUUCAUGUUUUUAAAUUUUUACUAAAAGAUUUUUUCAGAUAACAAUACAAUAUAUACAUAAAUUAUCUCUUUUUUAAAAUUAUAUUUUCUGAUUUUGGAUAAUUCUUACUAUUAUUAAUUUUAAUCAAUUAUCUAAUCAAAUAAAUUAAAAUUUCGUUUUUAUUUUUUAAUUUAGUUAUACAUUUUAUUUGAUUAAUAUUUAGUUAUAUAUAUAAUUCAUGUUUUAACUUUUUACUAAAAGACUUUUUCAGAUAAGAAUACAAUAUAUACUAGAUAAUUCUUACUAUAAUUAAUUUUAAUCAAUUAUCUAAUCAAAUAAAUUCAAAUUCCGUUUUUAUUUUUUAAUUUAUUUAUACAUUUUAUUCAUUAAGGAUAUAAACGUUAUUAACCGCUCUAACUUUAAUGUAAGAGCUCCGUUCCGAAAAUUUACUUCGCAAAUAAUAGUAUAGAUAGUUUACCAAAAUUUGUUAUAUCGUAUAUAAUUAAAAUACGUAUAUGAUUCUACAGAUUUAAAUUAUAACAUAACGGGUAGUAUAACACAUGUAUUAAUCAGAAAAUGCAUCUAAAACAAAUCAAUGACGGCAGGGAAAAUGAAAAUAAUUCUCGUUUCGUCCAAAAAAUAUUAGUAGCACGGUAUUACGGAAUUUACUUUUAUAAGGGCAUCUCCAACUCUACUCCAUUUUCAACUUCAAACAUCAUUAUGGAGUAAAAUCUUCUUCAUCCCCACUCCAUUUUCAACUCCAAAAUAGAGUAAUGGCUAGGGUUACUCCAUUUAUGGAGUAAUCUUAGAGCAUCUCCAAUGUAUUACUCCAUUUUUUACUCCAAAAUGGUGCAACACCAAAAUGGAGUAAGGUUUUACUCCAAUGUAUUACUCCAUUUUCUACUCCAAAAAUAAUAUUUCUUAAAUAAUUUCAUUUUUAUUUUAUUAAUAAUUACAAAUAAAAUCUUAUACUUAUAAAAAUUUACCAAUUAACCCCAAUUAUUUUAUGUUUACGAUAAUAAUUAAAAUAUAAAUCAUUUGAAUUAAAUAUUUAUUAUUAAAAAGUACAAGAAAUCAUUAAAAAAGACAACAUAUAUAUAGGUUCAACAAUGAGCAUUAGAAUAUUUUUCCCACAAAUGAUCAACUAAUGCAUUUCGUAAUGAAAAAUGAGCUUCUUUAUUUUUGAUAAAUGAGCUUCUUUAUUUUUGAUAUUCCUAAAUCGAGCAAGAAAAUUUUGAAAUCGGACAUUUUCAUCUUCUGCAAUUUCGAUAUCUGGAGGUGGAGCUUCUCUUCCAAGUUCAAUUGGUGCAUCAAGUUCACGCUCAUCUUCAAUUAUCAUGUUAUGUAAAAUUAUACAUGUAGUCAUAAUGUCAUGUAACACAUUUUUUUUUCCAAAAACGAACAGGUCCUUUGACAAUAGCAAAGCGCGACUGUAGAACUCCAAAUGCACGUUCAACAUCUUUCCUGCAUGCUUCUUGUUGCGUUGCAAAAUAUUUAUUUUUAGGACUCCCUGGCUCUUGAAUAGUUUGUACUAUGGUCGACCAUUUUGGAUAAAUACCAUCCGCUAAAUAGUAACCCAUAUAAUAUUCUUUGUCUUGAAUAAAAUAAUGAGCAGGAGGAGCAAUACCUUGAGCAAGAUUGGAAAAAAGAUAAGAAGAGUCCAACACGUUGAUAUCGUUAUUAGUGCCUGGCAUUCCGAAAUAUGCAUGCCAUAUCCAAAGAUCAUAAUCUGCGACAGCUUCAAGAAUUAUAGUUGGUGAUCCACUACGACCCGCAUAUUGUCCCGCCCAACCGGUAGGACAAUUCUUCCACUUCCAGUGCAUGCAAUCUAAACUGCCAAGCAUUCCAGGAAAUCCUCGUUUUUCACCAAUAUAAAGAAGUCUGGCAAUAUCACUAGACGUUGGUGACCGUAGGUAUUUUUUCCGAAAAUAUAUUGACGAUGGCUCGACAAAAUCUUUUCAUACUUUCAAUUGCCGUUGAUUCGCCUAUCUUGACGUAUUCGUCUGUGGCAUCAGCAGGAAGACCAUAAGCUAGCAUCCGGAACACUGCCGUUACUUUUUGAAGAGAAGAUAAUCCAAGUCUACCCAUUGUAUCUCUCCGUUGUAUGAAAUAGUUGUCAUAACUUUCAACAGCAUCAACAAUACGAAGGAAUAAAGAUCGUGACAUACGAUAUCUCCUGCGAAACAUAUCGUCGUUGUAGGUUGGAGUCUCCGAAAAAUAAUCACUAAAUAGUCGAAAGUGUGCGCUUUCUCGAUCACGGUAAAUGAAAGAACGCCCCGGGACUGAACCACCGUGAGUAACCGAAUUGUCUUGUUGGUUGAGAAGAAACUGAAUGGCUGAAUUGUUGUUUGAUAUAGCAAGACAUAUGGCUUCUUCUUCGUCGUCGAUGCUAUUAAUGAUCUCCAUACUUUCAUCAUCAUCGGAAGAGGACGACGAACCAAGAAGAUUUGCUAUAUUUUUAAAAUUAAGAUUCAUUUUGAGAAAGAAUAUUUAGAGAAAACCGUAUGAAUUGUUGGUGCUUACUAGUAUUAUUUGUGUUGGUAUUUAUAGAGUUUUCGUUACAUCGUUAAAGAUGUUUUAAAUUUAUUUAUUUAAUUUUGGUUGAUUUUGCAUGGCAUAGAAACCAUGUUUUAGUGAUUAAUAUAUUUUGACUUACUUUGCAUGGCAUGGAAACCAUGUUUUGUAUGACAUUUUUGACCGACUGACUUUGAAUAAAUCUUUUGACCUUUGCAUGUUAAAGAAACCAUAUUUUGAAAAACCAACAAAAUUUAUUCACGAAUUUGUAAACUUGUGCAUGGCACAGAAAAAGAAAGUUUUACCUUUGCAUGGCAUAGAAAAAGAAAGUUUGACGUUUGCAUAACAUAUAAAUCACAUUUUGAAAACUAACAAAAAUUUGUCACGAUUGCAUAACAUAGAAAAAGAUAUUUUGACCACAAAUAAAUCACAUUUUGGAAACUGGCAAAAUUUAUUUACGUUAGCAUGGCUUAGAGAUCUUUUUCAUCUAUAAAUAUUGGUGGCUUCUUGCACCAUAUACAAUAUUUUAAAAUAUAUACACUACUAAUAAAAUGUCUAUUCGAUCUUCUGGAUAUUCUCAAGAAGAAGAUAAACUUUUAUGUGAAGUUUGUAUGGAAAUUUCUCAAGAUCCAAUUAAAGGUGCAUACCAGUCAUCUGAUGUGUUUUGGUCCCGUGUGAUGAAAGGUUACGAAAAUGGAAGGAAGACAACUUGGUGUGAGCGUACAAAAAGAUCUGUGCAAUCUCGAAUUCAAACUAUUGAGAAAGCAACAAAAAAAUUGCAUGCAUGCAUCAGACAAUGCGAAAAUCGACGUCCUAGUGGUGCUUCGAAUAAUGAUAUUGUAAGUAUUACUAUAUCAUUUAUAAUUUUGUUAAUGAUUUUUAAAUUAUUGAUUUUUGUUCUUAAUGAUAUGCAGUUUAAUCAAGCAAAGAUAAUGUUAAGUGAAGAUCCACAAUUCAAAACGGGUUGGAAAUUUGAUCAUGUUUGGAAUAUGAUUAAAAACUUUGAAAAAUUUAUGGAUGGUGCCACCUCUCCUAAUGAUCAUGUCAUUAAUUCUCCAACACAAGUAUCUCCAGGUUUAUCUUCGUUUUCUCCAAACUUAGACGAUGACGAUGAAAUUAUGAGUGGAUCUUCCUCUCAACGUCCAAGUGGAGUGAAAAAGUCAAAAAUGAAAAGGAAGCUUGAUGAUCAAUCGUCAACUGUUAUAAAAACUUUAGAAGAAGGAAAUAAACAACUCUUGGAACAAUUAAAGAAGACAAGUGCAGAGAGGAUUUACCAUAUGGAGACUCAAAAGCAAAAUCUUGCAGUCAAAGAAGAAAACAAAGUUUUGCUUUGUGAUUUGAGUUCCAUACAAGAUCCAAAUGUUCGUGCGUAUAUUCAAGCUCAACAAAUACAAAUAAUAUCAAAGCGAAAUGCUGAAUCACAAGAUCAACAAGCUCUUUCUCAGACUUCUCCGUUUGGGCAAUAUUUCACCGACCUUAGCGGAUCCGGAACGGAUUUUCCAGAUUAUUAAAUUACUUAUUUUAUGUUAUUUUUAUUUUUAUUUUAAUUAUUUAUGUUUUCUGUUAUUUUAUGCAUUUAUUUAAAAUUAUUAAAUAAUCUUUUGUGGAAUAUACUAUUUUCAUGUUAUUGUAUCAUUUUAAAUAUUAUUUAAGUAAAAAAUAGAAACAUUAAAGAUUCAAAGGACCAUUUUAUAAAUAAAAAAAGUUCAACUCCAAAAUGGAGUAAUAGGUAAGAUUACUCCAUAAAUGGAGUAACCCUAGCCAUUACUCCAUUUUCAACUCCAAAAUGGAGUGGGGUUGGAGAAGAUUUUACUCCAUAAUGAUGUUUGGAGUUGAAAAUGGAGUAGGGUUGGAGAUGCUCCUACUACUCCAUAUCUCACUUCAUAAUGAAAUUUACUCUAUAAAUGGAGUAAUCUUUUUUUUGGUUGUUCAUCACUCCAUUAUGGAGUGGAAAAUGGAGUAGGGUUGGAGCAAUUUUACUCCAUUUUCACUUUUACUCCAUUUUGGAGAAAAAAAUGGAGUUAUACAUUGGAGAUGCUCUUACCCAUUACUCCAUUUUGGAGUUGAACUUUUUUUAUUUAUAAAAUGGUCUUUUGAAUCUUUAAUGUUUUUAUUUCUUACUUAAAUAAUAUUUAAAAUGAUACAAUAACAUAAAAAUAGUAUAUUCCACAAAGGAUUAUUUAAUAAUUUUAAAUAAAUGCAUAAAAUAACAGAAAACCUAAAUAAUUAAAUAAAAAUAAAAAAAAACAUAAAAUAAGUAAUUUAAUAAUCUGGAAAAUCCAUUCCGGAUCCGCUAAGGUCGGUGAAAUAUUGCCCAAACAGAGAAGUCUGAGAAAGAGCUUGUUGAUCUUGUGAUUCAACAUUUCACUUUGAUAUUAUUUGUAUUUGUUGAGCUUGAAUAUACGCAUGAACAUUUGGAUCUUGUAUGGAUGAGCGUGAACUCGAUGCACCAAUUGAAUUUGGAAGAGAAGCUCCACCUCCGGGUAUCAAAAUUGCAGAAGAUGAAAAUGUCCGAUUUCAAAAUUUUCUUGCUUGAUUUAGAAAUAUCAAAGAUAAAGAAGCUCAUUUUUCAUUACAAAAUGCAUUAGUUGAUCAUUUAUGGAAAAACUAUUCUAAUGCUCAUUGUUAAACCCACAUAUAUGUUGUCUUUUUUAAUGAUUUCUUGUACUUUUUAAUAAUAAAUAUUUGAUUCAAAUAAUUUAUAUUUUAAUUAUUUAUCGUAAAUAUAAAAUAGUUGGGGUUAAUUGGUAAAUUUUUAUAAGUAUAAGAUUUUAUUUGCAAUUAUUAAUAAAAUAAAAAUGAAAUCAUUUAAGAAAUAUUAUUUUUUGAGUAGAAAAUGGAGUAAUACAUUGGAGUAAAAUCUUACUCCAUUUUGGUGUUGCACCAUUUUGGAGUAAAAAAUAGGGUAAUACAUUGGAGAUGCUCGAACACGUGUGUUCUGUUCUGAAUUUAAGAAUCCUCAAACAUCUCGGUUAGGUACCGCGAAAAUUCAUCGAUACAGAUUAUCUAGUGUAACUAGUUAACUCUAACAUGAAUUAAGUAUGUCUAUCAAUCUUUUCACAUGUAUAUUUUUUUUUUUGCAAACCAUGCAUAAUUAGAAGAGAAGAUCCAAAUUUUUUUGUUUUGUUUUAUUUUAUUUUUGAAUUCAAGAAGUUCUCCGCACAAACCUAUAAUUUUUUUCGGCCAUGAACAAGAGCCGGUUGUUUAAUCUCCUCCCCGUAGCUUCCGAGACUCAAACAUAAUAUAUCUACCUUUAGAAAAGAAAGAUUUACCAGUUGAAUUAGCAACUCCGAAUUCCAUUUUUUUAUUACUUGUAAAUCAUGCUUAUAUGUCAAUUUCAUUUCUGUCGGAUUAGAACCACAAAUGGAAAUUAAAAUUGAGUUGAUUACUAAAUUUUUCUAAAAUAUUAGUUUUUCUUAUUGAUUUAUCUACAUAGAAAAGCAAAAAUAUAUCAAUUACAAAGAAACAAUUUGUUUUUAAUUGCAUCAAUAGCCAUUUUUAUUUUGUGACUGUAAUUGUUUAAUGCCAAAUUUAGACAUUACUCAGAAAAAAAACAAUAAAUAGACUUUAGUAGUUUCGAAUUAGUUUUUUUUACCACACAACUGUUAAAAUAUUCUUUUUACAUUAGAAUAUUAAAUGAAAAUUGUAUAUUUUUGUUGGAAUUUACGUACUGUUAAAAUCUGAAUGUGUUAAAAAGAUAUAAAAUAUAUAAAUUGAAUAUAAAUGAUGUUCAAUGUUGUAUGACUUGUAAAUUCUGUUAUUUAUAUGUUUUACUCUACUGGAAACGAUCUGCUCAUAAAAUUAUUCAAAAUUUAAUUAAAAAGUUGGGUUCAAACAUUUAAGGAAGAUCCGUUUAAUGAAUAUUUCACAAGAGUGAUAGUUAAUAUAUAUUUGUUUCUGUAAAAAUGUUUAUAUAUAUAUAUAUAUAUAUAUAUAUUAAUUCUUUCGUUUUUUUCAGAAACAUGCUGAAAAAUCAGAGGAUGAUGAAAAUCUUAAUCGGAACCAAAAGAGAGAUAAAAUCGAAGACGACUACCGCCAAAGUGAACUCGUCAACUAUGGAUUCAUUAUUCGCGUUAUCAUUACGCAAAUCAUUAUACUAAUUAAAUUUCUCUUCAUUUGCGUCAUCCGUUAUAACAUCAUAAUGAUCAUCAUAUUCAUGGUUAUGCAGGUCAUAUAAAGGCGUCAUCGGUAGGUUGUUCAGAUACCCCGACUUCAUUUAUACAUGAAUCUUAUUACAAUUUGGUUCUUCUCAACCGAUUAUUCAACCCCUAGAUGUAACUUUAAUAGAAAAUAACCAAACUAUUCCAGAAGCUUUGAUCAAAAGUAAUGGAUAAAGUUAACUUGGUAUGUUUGAGAUGCUAAUAAAGGUUCGAAAAUUUUGUACUUUCAUGUAUCAUUGACAUCAACAAAUACAAAUUUGUUAUACCGAACACCUCUAUAGACGACGGGUUUGAACCAAUCACAUUUAAAGAUUAACUCAUUUCAUCCUCACUAAUCCAAAAAAUUCUACUUCGAUAAUCACUUGCAAGAUCUCAUAGAAAUCUAUUUCACUUUUCUCACAUAUUUUGAACAUAAAAUAAGUAAUUUAAUAAUCUGGAAAAUCCAUUCCGGAUCCGCUAAGGUCGGUGAAAUAUUGCCCAAACAGAGAAGUCUGAGAAAGAGCUUGUUGAUCUUGUGAUUCAACAUUUCACUUUGAUAUUAUUUGUAUUUGUUGAGCUUGAAUAUACGCACGAACAUUUGGAUCUUGUAUGGAUGAGCGUGAACUCGAUGCACCAAUUGAAUUUGGAAGAGAAGCUCCACCUCCGGGUAUCAAAAUUGCAGAAGAUGAAAAUGUCCGAUUUCAAAAUUUUCUUGCUUGAUUUAGAAAUAUCAAAGAUAAAGAAGCUCAUUUUUCAUUACAAAAUGCAUUAGUUGAUCAUUUAUGGAAAAACUAUUCUAAUGCUCAUUGUUAAACCCACAUAUAUGUUGUCUUUUUUAAUGAUUUCUUGUACUUUUUAAUAAUAAAUAUUUGAUUCAAAUAAUUUAUAUUUUAAUUAUUUAUCGUAAAUAUAAAAUAGUUGGGGUUAAUUGGUAAAUUUUUAUAAGUAUAAGAUUUUAUUUGCAAUUAUUAAUAAAAUAAAAAUGAAAUCAUUUAAGAAAUAUUAUUUUUUGAGUAGAAAAUGGAGUAAUACAUUGGAGUAAAAUCUUACUCCAUUUUGGUGUUGCACCAUUUUGGAGUAAAAAAUAGGGUAAUACAUUGGAGAUGCUCGAACACGUGUGUUCUGUUCUGAAUUUAAGAAUCCUCAAACAUCUCGGUUAGGUACCGCGAAAAUUCAUCGAUACAGAUUAUCUAGUGUAACUAGUUAACUCUAACAUGAAUUAAGUAUGUCUAUCAAUCUUUUCACAUGUAUAUUUUUUUUUUUGCAAACCAUGCAUAAUUAGAAGAGAAGAUCCAAAUUUUUUUGUUUUGUUUUAUUUUAUUUUUGAAUUCAAGAAGUUCUCCGCACAAACCUAUAAUUUUUUUCGGCCAUGAACAAGAGCCGGUUGUUUAAUCUCCUCCCCGUAGCUUCCGAGACUCAAACAUAAUAUAUCUACCUUUAGAAAAGAAAGAUUUACCAGUUGAAUUAGCAACUCCGAAUUCCAUUUUUUUAUUACUUGUAAAUCAUGCUUAUAUGUCAAUUUCAUUUCUGUCGGAUUAGAACCACAAAUGGAAAUUAAAAUUGAGUUGAUUACUAAAUUUUUCUAAAAUAUUAGUUUUUCUUAUUGAUUUAUCUACAUAGAAAAGCAAAAAUAUAUCAAUUACAAAGAAACAAUUUGUUUUUAAUUGCAUCAAUAGCCAUUUUUAUUUUGUGACUGUAAUUGUUUAAUGCCAAAUUUAGACAUUACUCAGAAAAAAAACAAUAAAUAGACUUUAGUAGUUUCGAAUUAGUUUUUUUUACCACACAACUGUUAAAAUAUUCUUUUUACAUUAGAAUAUUAAAUGAAAAUUGUAUAUUUUUGUUGGAAUUUACGUACUGUUAAAAUCUGAAUGUGUUAAAAAGAUAUAAAAUAUAUAAAUUGAAUAUAAAUGAUGUUCAAUGUUGUAUGACUUGUAAAUUCUGUUAUUUAUAUGUUUUACUCUACUGGAAACGAUCUGCUCAUAAAAUUAUUCAAAAUUUAAUUAAAAAGUUGGGUUCAAACAUUUAAGGAAGAUCCGUUUAAUGAAUAUUUCACAAGAGUGAUAGUUAAUAUAUAUUUGUUUCUGUAAAAAUGUUUAUAUAUAUAUAUAUAUAUAUAUAUAUUAAUUCUUUCGUUUUUUUCAGAAACAUGCUGAAAAAUCAGAGGAUGAUGAAAAUCUUAAUCGGAACCAAAAGAGAGAUAAAAUCGAAGACGACUACCGCCAAAGUGAACUCGUCAACUAUGGAUUCAUUAUUCGCGUUAUCAUUACGCAAAUCAUUAUACUAAUUAAAUUUCUCUUCAUUUGCGUCAUCCGUUAUAACAUCAUAAUGAUCAUCAUAUUCAUGGUUAUGCAGGUCAUAUAAAGGCGUCAUCGGUAGGUUGUUCAGAUACCCCGACUUCAUUUAUACAUGAAUCUUAUUACAAUUUGGUUCUUCUCAACCGAUUAUUCAACCCCUAGAUGUAACUUUAAUAGAAAAUAACCAAACUAUUCCAGAAGCUUUGAUCAAAAGUAAUGGAUAAAGUUAACUUGGUAUGUUUGAGAUGCUAAUAAAGGUUCGAAAAUUUUGUACUUUCAUGUAUCAUUGACAUCAACAAAUACAAAUUUGUUAUACCGAACACCUCUAUAGACGACGGGUUUGAACCAAUCACAUUUAAAGAUUAACUCAUUUCAUCCUCACUAAUCCAAAAAAUUCUACUUCGAUAAUCACUUGCAAGAUCUCAUAGAAAUCUAUUUCACUUUUCUCACAUAUUUUGUAGCCAAUUGUUACCCAACGUCUCUUAUACUUGUAAGCAUGAAAAUUAAAACCUCUUGUUGAUCUUUGCAAUCGGAUCUUGAACCAAUUCAUGAAACCAUAGAGGAUAAAAUAGAUUGUCCUAAUCAACCUUCAAAUUAUAAAAAAUUCUUGGAUUUACAUUAUUAUUACAUUUUUUUGGUAAAAUUUGCUAUGAGGUCAAAAUUUUACCAAAAUUACAUGGGUAUUUAACCACUUAAUAAUGUGUUGAUCUUUUUGUUUGUUGAGCUAAACAGUGGAUAUUCAUUCAAUAUCUUUUUCAACUUUGAUAACAAAUGAGCUGCAUAAUAACAUUAGUUUACUGUAUGCAAUGUUACGUGAAAUUUUUUAACAAAUAAAUAUUUUACAUUUCAAAUUAACGCAUUUUCUCACAAUUAAUAGAAUAAAUGUGUGGGCGCUGUGACAAUUUUGGGGACUCGGCCACCAAAAAAAAUGUUAAGUUCUCACUUAAACAUCUAAUUUGAGAGAAGAGGUUUGGAAAACCUUCAAAUGCAUAUGGUUUCGUGAUAGCACCAUCAUCAUAUUUUCAAGGAGCUAUUUUUUGUGUACAUGUCUUUGGUCUAAUGUAGUAUGAUAUAAAAUGAGAUAUUUCCUCUUUUAAACUUUCAGCAUGAUUGAGUCUUUCACCUCUGCAAGAUUUUUGUUUUUCUUUUCAAAUGUUUAUGAAGCGCCCAAAUAGAUACAUUUAUCAAAAUUGAAAAUGUCUACAUAGUAAUGCCUUGUGGGUGGUGAUGGAUCGGGAGAUGUCCCAUGACGUUAAAAAACCUGAGAAAUAUUGUUAUGAGUAUUGUUACAUAAUAUAAUCAGAAUAUUGAAUAUUGUUACGAAUUGUUACAUAAUUUGUUGUAUGAUAUUUUUGGUUUGUACAUAUAUUCAUGUAGUAAAAUCUUUGAAAAACACACUAAUGUCUUGUAUAGAAAAAUUAAACAGAUUAGUUGUUAGUAAGUUAAGAUAAUAAGUAAAUAGUGAUAUCACAUUACAAUAUAAAAUUAUCUACCUGCAAUUGUUUCAUGGAUAUUUGUUGGAAGCAGCUCUGUAAAUGUAAAUGAAAGUUGUUGUUGCAUAAAAACAUGAAAAUCAUCACUCUUUAUUCGUAAAUUUUUUGGACAUAAUUCAACAAAUCUUGAGAGAUUUGAAACAUACUAUCAUGAAACUUCGCUUCAGAUGCCACUUAGUUGAACAACACUACCUUUGCUUCUGAUGACUAUUUAAAAAUAUGAACUAGAUUUUUUUCGUUGUUUUUGACAUGUAUCUCACACUUUGAACAAAUAGCAGGUAAGUCUAACCUUAACUUUUUGCUAUCAUUUGUCUUUCUUUGGACAUUCAAUUUGUAUGCAUGAAGUUAUCAAAAAUAUUAUUUUUUAUAUGCAUCAUAUCCAAAUUGUAUCGCAAAAGAAGAUUUUUCAGCAUUGAAGUUCCCAAAACAUAUUCUUAUUGUGUUAGUUGUGAUGAUCCCCAAACCAGUAAGCAUAUUUUCAGAAAUAUGCUGAUUACCCUCACGACGAACUUUUUAAGCAUCAUAGCAAUCAAUUAUCUUUUCAAAUUUUCCUCCACUUAAAUAUGCAUGAAGAGUGUCUCUUCCAAUUACUUUGUACCUAAACAAUGUUUUUUUUCUUUGGUAAGUGGUUAAGGGGAGGAAAUCGACGAUAACAAUCAAAACAACAUGUAUUUCUAUUGUACUUCAAUUAAAAAGCAUAUGACUUCUAAGACAAUAUGUAUGAGAUAAAUGUAUUGUCCAUCAUGAUAUCAUCUUGACAAUUUUUGAUGUACACAUUUAUCAUUUCCAAAAGUAACCCGAGAGUAUAAACCAACUAUUAAAUCUUAUAGUAAAAACAUCACACAAAUUGCUCUGUUUCAAAUACUCUUUAAACAACUCAAUUCGUGCAUCCAUGCAAAUUUUAGGUAAAUUAUGAUCAAUUUUAAUAUUCAUCAUCCUAGUUGCUAAAGAAAAUCUAGAAAGAAUUUCUCAACAACCGACAUAGAUAGACCGAUUCACAACAUCAAACUUUUCAUAAAAAAAUUUGGCAUCCAAACUAGGUUCUUCAACAUUACCAACUUCAUUAGCUUCUAAAAAUACAUUUGUAGCCAUGUCGUAAACUAUGUCAUGAUCUGCCCUCUCUUUUUUAUGAUGAUAACUACUUUUUAUUAUGCAAGUCGAUUCUUCAAUAUUACCAACAACCUCAAAAUUAAUAUUAAUACUACUAAUUCCAUUCUCACCAUAAUUCUCAUUAUAUCCAAGAAAACAUAGUAUUUGGCGGGGUAAAAUCCUACAUUUACUAAAUAAUUCAACAUAAUAUCAUUACGGAUAAAUUUUGUAUUUUUACAAUUUUAAUAAAUAUAUAAUAUUAACGGGUUUUUAUGUGACUUAUAUAUUUUUAGCCUGAUAUAUGAAUAUUUUUAUUGGUAACAAUAAAGAAUCGAUAGAAUUGAAAUAAAUGGAAUGAUAAGAAUGAAAUGCAAUAAAAAAUGAAAUGAAAUUCAUUCCAUUCAUUCAUAACCAAAUUUGUUUUGGAAUCAUUCCUCUUCAUUGUAUUUAUCUAUUUUUUUUUGUAGAAUUGAUGGAAUGAAUGACUAUUUCAUUUUAUUCAUGUCAAUUGAAAAAUUUUGUUUUGGAAUUAAUGAAAUAAUGCAUUCCACGUCAUUCCAUUCUAAAAAUCAACAAUUUAGUUACAGUUUUAGAUUAUUGAGAUACCAACACCACAAAAGGUACAUGUCAAGAGAGAUUAAAGAAAAAAUGAGUAUUUUCUCACAGUAAAAAUGGUCGAAACCAACCACCAAAAAAGCAAUACGAAGAACACGAGAAAUCAUUUACAAGUAGAAAGAAUGAAGAUAGGCGGGACAAAAAAAUGCUGCUAAUAUAAAAUUUUCUUCUAGAUUCGUACAAAUAAGAAGAAAUUCUCAUUUGAAAAAGCUACAAAGAAAAAUAUCUUAUCAUUCAUGAUAAUAUAUAUUACCUUCCACUACAUGACUUAUCUGGACUAAAAAAUCAAUAAUUUUCAAAAAAAAAAACAAAUAAAUAUAUAUUUCCACAAAAGUGGUCUACUCUACACGUACAUGUAAUUGUCUUUGUAUUUUGUCUUUCAAAGUAAAGGUAAUAUUUUUGCCUUAUGGGGCCAAUAUAUUUCUCUGAGUAGAAACAAAUAGCAAAUACAUACGUCUCCUUAAAACCAGCUUUGUCAUCAAAUCAAAAGCCAUUCUUUCUUUCCGUCUUUCACGCUCCGCCUCUCCUUCAUCGUUUCAUAGAUUCUUUUUCCUUUUUUUUUCUCCUUCCUCAGAUCUCUUUUCCUUCAAAACAAUCCUCUGUUUUGAUCUCUCUGAGGUUGUUUUCUUUGGAGGAAGAAAGAAAUCUCUUCUUCUAGCGAUCUCGUCGAUGUUUUUUUUUCUUCUUUGCAUGGUCUAGUGGAUGAUUGAUAACGUUUGAUCGCUGAAAUUUUGGUGACGUUUCUGGGUUUAUGAUAUUGUAGAAAAUUUAGUUAAAAAAAUAUAUAUAUCUUCUGGGUCAAUGAUAAUAGUGGUCGACGAGUCGGUUUCUUAGGGUUUACUUUUUUCUAAUUGUCUUUGUAGAAUUGUUGUUUUAUUCAUUUCUAAUUGAAUUUUCAACGCUAUUAUUGAAGAGAAUUUCAGCUUGUGGAAUUUAUUAUCGAUUGAGAAAAAAAGUCUUUUCAAAUAUAUAUUAGAAUCUA
This 39437-nucleotide long non-coding RNA is filed under the name Brassica napus (rape). Its description in RNAcentral is "long non-coding RNA (BNAP_LNC024563)". The record is from RNAcentral. Lineage: Eukaryota; Viridiplantae; Streptophyta; Magnoliopsida; Brassicales; Brassicaceae.